This 2145-nucleotide transfer RNA is filed under the name Homo sapiens (human). RNAcentral describes it as "HSALNT0103176". Lineage: Eukaryota; Metazoa; Chordata; Mammalia; Primates; Hominidae. The record is from RNAcentral.
UUCUUGACCAUGUGGGGUACCUGAUAGGUUAAAAAAAAAAGAAGUGCACCACGUGUAGAACGGUGCCUGUGUCUUGAGCAGCGACUUCUGGGUUAGCAUAAAGAAUACAUCUGUGCUUUUCCUGGGCUAUCUCCUAUAGCCUUCUCAGACUCUCACUCUCAGGCCAACUGUGAUGAGAGCAGCAAGUUGAAAUUCUAUUGACCAUGGUGAGAGUAAGUGCUGGGUUCAGAGGUUACCGUCUCCUCCCUUCCAGAGGCUAGGCUGGUGUCAGGCCCUGGGCUCCCUACAACCGAUAAGUACCCAAACUAGGCAUAUAUGGACUUCUGGACCACCAGCCAAGAAUGUAGUGAAAGGAACCUUUCUUCCAAGGGAGACUUCUGCUCCAGUCUUGGGUGAAGACUUGUUCAUAGAGUGAAUGUAGACUUGGGAUCAGUGAAGGAAAAAGAGUGAAAAGAAACUUGUGAAGAAGCAGAGCAGAAAGAUGUGCAACCAAAUGGAGACAGGCUACCCUGGAUUCCAGGUUAAUCAAAUCACAUUAGAUAAAAGUUUAUGCACUCAGCAAGUAUUUUUGAACGAACAUGAGCCAGGCAAAAUGAAACUGAAAAAUGAAAGGUGAAAAAGACCACAGUACUGGUCUCUCCCCUAGGAGAACUUGCUGUCUAGAGUAAGAGGGAGAGCUUAUUAAAUGAGAAUUAAAUUAUGAGGUGGUGUGAGAAGGAGAUUGAGGGUGUUGAGGAGACAUAGAUGGGGCAUCUAAGCUCCUAUAAAGGGAGCCCAGUGAAGGCCUCAGUAAGAAGGUCUGGAAGGUCUAAGUUAAUAUUUGAAGAAUGAGUAAAAGAACUAGCUCUCAUAACGUGAGGGUAGAGGGGAGAACAAAAAUGUGUUGCAAGUAGAAAAUGAGAAGAGAGGGAAAAAACAAAGAAUAGAAAUAAUUUUACCAUGGCCGGUGACUAAAAGCUAAUUUUGGGCUCUGUGUGUGGCAGGAAUGGUGAUGGAUGAGGCUGGAGUUGUGUGCAAGUUAGGGUAGCAAUCACUAAAAUGCAAAAAAUCUAUCUCAAGCAAAAGGGAAAGGACUUGUGUGAGAGUCUCUAAGACGACAGCAAGGCCUGUGUGCUGAUGAGCUGCUGCCAGCAGUUUGACAGUACCAUGCCUAUCAACUUAAUCAAAGUGCAGAGGCUUUACCAAAAAUAAGUCUAAGAAAGAACUUGAGAAAUUUGCAACCAGGAUAGGAUGAGGUAGCCUGACCAUUUGCUAAUCCAGUACACUUUUCAUGUGUGGGCUUGAAUCCCAUCCUCACUGAAAGUGUUCCAUGGAGAGUGAAGCCUGGAGGGACAACAGUACCACUACAAGUUUGUUAACCUCAAAUCAGAUAUUUAUCACUUCUCAUGUUAGAUACUUUUUUUUCCCAGAGAUAGAGUAAUGUGGUCAUUCUUUUAAAAACAGGCAUUUCUCUAUUAUGCACACAUACAUGCCUUUCUAGGAAUCAAGACAUGGGGAGACAUUUCAGACAGGCGCCUCUGUCCCAUCUGUGUCUGGGAACAGGUUACAGAAUUAGGGAGUUGUUCCUGGUAGUGUUGAUUGUGCACAUGGGCUUUGCUUCCACAGGUGGUCUCACACUUCUGAGGACUGACAUAGAUACUACUGCUAAGAAGAUACUAUGAUGUAUGGUGGACUGGAUUACAAGGAAUCACUCUAGUUUUAAGAGACAAGAUAACUGGCAGAAGUGGGAAAAAAAAAAAAAAAAGAGCCAAGAAGGUCCCACCGAGAUUUGAACUCGGAUCGCUGGAUUCAAAGUCCAGAGUGCUAACCAUUACACCAUGGGGCCACCUAUAAGCCUGCUUAUGAAGUUUUUCUUCUGACAAAUAUUUAUCCCUGAGUCACUAGCUCUUAACUGCUAAGUAUGAAAUAAUGGGUUUUUAAACAAAACUGUACUGCCCUCUACAGGAGUAUUUUGGAAAUGCCUGGGUGUUUUGCUUGUUUCAAUGACUGGGGCACAACUGGCUUUCACAGGUCAGAACCAGAGAUACUGGGAAUCUUGCAAUGCUCAGGACAAUACUGCAUAAAGAAUUAACCAUAGGAGUGCACAAUUUUUGCAAAACGACCUUGGAUCUUUCAUCUAGGUUUUCUGGGGCCUUUUCUAAUAGU